AUGCUCAAACCCCUCAAGAUGUCCCAAGAACAGACGAUUAAUACAAUGCAUUUGCUUAUUUUUGCCACAAAAAUGCUUCUCCCACCAGAAUCGAGUACGUAUAUUAACAGGAUGCAACUCAAAGGGGGGAGAAGAGUUCUUCCUUGGCAAGAGAACCAACCAAUCAAUCAAUCAAAACUGCAACGCAAGCAACAAAAAAGAAAAGAAAAAAUGUCGAACAGUGAACCAAUCCACCUGCUGGUGGCUGGAGCUGGAGCUGGAGCUGGAGCUAAGGCUAGGCGGGCGGUCGAUAGUAGCUGUAUGCGCUGUAGAAGGUCUGCAUCAUGGUGA
RNAcentral lists this ribosomal RNA (330 nucleotides) under Triticum aestivum (bread wheat). RNAcentral describes it as "partial small subunit ribosomal RNA". Lineage: Eukaryota; Viridiplantae; Streptophyta; Magnoliopsida; Poales; Poaceae. The record is from RNAcentral.